This 85-nucleotide transfer RNA is filed under the name Fasciola gigantica. It matches the Rfam family "tRNA". From Rfam's summary of the family: Transfer RNA (tRNA) molecules are approximately 80 nucleotides in length. Their secondary structure includes four short double-helical elements and three loops (D, anti-codon, and T loops). The record is from Rfam by way of RNAcentral. Lineage: Eukaryota; Metazoa; Platyhelminthes; Trematoda; Plagiorchiida; Fasciolidae.
GCCCUCGUAGCUCAGUUGGUAGAGCACGUCGCGGUACUAAAGCGAGGGUGGUGACCAUGCGUGGGUUCGAGUCCCUCCGGGGCCA